GACGAACGCUGGCGGCGUGCCUAACACAUGCAAGUCGAACGGAGCUUUGCUUUGAACGGCGGAGAGCUUGCUCUCCAAAGUUCUGUGUGAAGCUUAGUGGCGGACGGGUGAGUAACGCGUGAGUAACCUGCCGUUCAGAGGGGGACAACAGUUGGAAGCGACUGCUAAUACCGCAUAAUGUACCGAGAAGGCAUCUUCUUGGUACCAAAGAUUUAUCGCUGAAUGAUGGACUCGCGUCUGAUUAGAUAGUUGGUGAGGUAACGGCUCACCAAGUCGACGAUCAGUAGCCGGACUGAGAGGUUGAACGGCCACAUUGGGACUGAGACACGGCCCAGACUCCUACGGGAGGCAGCAGUGGGGGAUAUUGGUCAAUGGGGGAAACCCUGAACCAGCGACGCCGCGUGAGGGAAGAAGGUUAUUUGAUUGUAAACCUCUGUCGUCAGGGAAGAAAAUGACGGUACCUGACAAGGAAGCACCGGCUAACUACGUGCCAGCA
This 496-nucleotide ribosomal RNA is filed under the name uncultured bacterium. RNAcentral's name for it is "bacterial SSU rRNA". It matches the Rfam family "Bacterial small subunit ribosomal RNA", at positions 28 to 513 of the family's 1533-position model. The record is from RNAcentral.